UGGGGAAUUUUGCACAAUGGGGGAAACCCUGAUGCAGCGACGCCGCGUGAUUUAGAAGGCCUUCGGGUUGUAAAAAUCUUUUCUAUGGGAAGAAAAUGACAGUACCAUAGGAAUAAGGACCGGCUAAUUACGUGCCAGCAGCCGCGGUAAUACGUAAGGUCCGAGCGUUGUCCGGAAUCAUUGGGCGUAAAGGGUACGUAGGCGGGUAAGCAAGUUAGAAGUGGAAUCCUAUAGCGCAACUAUAGUAAGCUUUUAAAACUGCUCAUCUUGAGGUAUGGAAGGGAAAGUAGAAUUCCUAGUGUAGCGGUGAAAUGCGCAGAUAUUAGGAGGAAUACCGGUGGCAAAGGCGACUUUCUGGCCAUAACCUGACGCUGAGGUACGAAAGCGUGGGUAGCAAACAGG
Molecule: ribosomal RNA, 402 nt
Filed under: bacterium
Lineage: Bacteria
Description: partial 16S ribosomal RNA
Rfam family: Bacterial small subunit ribosomal RNA
Source: RNAcentral